This is a long non-coding RNA of Myripristis murdjan (pinecone soldierfish), 105 nucleotides long. RefSeq lists it as uncharacterized. The record is from RefSeq and is a predicted model, not a curated record. The transcript is spliced from 3 exons. NCBI's taxonomy places the organism in Eukaryota, Metazoa, Chordata, Actinopteri, Holocentriformes, Holocentridae.
AAGACUGUCUCAAAGGAGAUAAGGGUAUCCCUGGUGACAGAGGAGAAAAGGGAUCGGCUGGGAUACCAGGUCAACCAGGGGAACCAGGCAAAGAGGGCAAAAGGG